GACGAACGCUGGCGGCGUGCUUAACACAUGCAAGUCGAACGGCAAGGCCCUGCUUUUGUGGGGUUCUCGAGUGGCGAACGGGUGAGUAACACGUGAGUAACCUGCCCUUCACUUUGGGAUAACUUCAGGAAACUGGGGCUAAUACCGGAUCGCAUCUCCUGUUGCAUGGUGGGGGUUGGAAAGUUGGGGCGGUUGGGGAUGGACUCGCGGCUUAUGGGCUGGUUGGUUGGGUAGUGGCUUACCAAGGGUUUGAAGGGUAGCCGGCCUGGGAGGGUGAACGGCGACAUGGGGACUGAGAGACGGCGCAGAGUGGUAUGGUAGGCAGCAGGGGGGAAUAUGGCCCAGUGGUCGGGAGCCUGAUGCGGAAGCGUCGCGGGCGGGAUGCCGGCCUUCGGGUUGUAAACCGCUUUCGCUUGUGACGAAGCGGGAGUGACGGUAAUGGGUAAAGAAGCACCGGCUAACUACGUG
RNAcentral lists this ribosomal RNA (468 nucleotides) under uncultured bacterium. RNAcentral describes it as "partial 16S ribosomal RNA". It matches the Rfam family "Bacterial small subunit ribosomal RNA", at positions 28 to 507 of the family's 1533-position model. The record is from RNAcentral.